RNAcentral lists this ribosomal RNA (484 nucleotides) under uncultured bacterium. RNAcentral describes it as "partial 16S ribosomal RNA". It matches the Rfam family "Bacterial small subunit ribosomal RNA", at positions 30 to 507 of the family's 1533-position model. The record is from RNAcentral.
AUUGAACGCUGGCGGCAGGCCUAACACAUGCAAGUCGAGCGGAUGAAGGGAGCUUGCUCCUGGCUUCAGCGGCGGACGGGUGAGUAAUGCCUAGGAAUCUGCCUGGCAGUGGGGGAUAACGUCCGGAAACGGGCGCUAAUACCGCAUACGUCCUGAGGGAGAAAGUGGGGGAUCUUCGGACCUCACGCUAUCAGAUGAGCCUAGGUCGGAUUAGCUAGUUGGUGGGGUAAAGGCCUACCAAGGCGACGAUCCGUAACUGGUCUGAGAGGAUGAUCAGUCACACUGGAACUGAGACACGGUCCAGACUCCUACGGGAGGCAGCAGUAGGGAAUAUUGGACAAUGGGCGAAAGCCUGAUCCAGCCAUGCCGCGUGUGUGAAGAAGGUCUUCGGAUUGUAAAGCACUUUAAGUUGGGAGGAAGGGCAGUAAGUUAAUACCUUGCUGUUUUGACGUUACCAACAGAAUAAGCACCGGCUAACUUCGUG